Molecule: ribosomal RNA, 253 nt
Filed under: uncultured bacterium
Lineage: Bacteria
Description: partial 16S ribosomal RNA
Rfam family: Bacterial small subunit ribosomal RNA
Source: RNAcentral
UACGGAGGGCGCGAGCGUUUUUCGGAAUCACUGGGCGUAAAGCGCGUGUAGGCGGCCGAGCAAGUCGGAUGUGAAAUCCCGAGGCUCAACCUCGGAACUGCAUUCGAAACUGCUCGGCUCGAAUCCCGGAGAGGAUGGCGGAAUUCCCGGUGUAGGGGUGAAAUCCGUAGAUAUCGGGAGGAACACCAGUGGCGAAGGCGGCCAUCUGGACGGUGACUGACGCUGAGACGCGAAAGCGUGGGGAGCAAACAGG